GGAAAAGGGCCUGGAGUUAAUAAAGGAUGUGGCAGAUCUCCUGAAGCUGCAGAUGAGUGCCUUCGAUGAUGUCAACAUGCUGGGACCAGCUGUGACCUUCAGAGUGCACUCAAACCUCCAAAACAUUUCAACUGCGGAUGUUGCCAAAGCAGCAGCCAUGAACAAAGAGAAGCUUGAAAAAACAACUGGGCUGAGAAUUCUGCAGACUGGUGUGGGGGAGGUAAG
Lagopus leucura (white-tailed ptarmigan) is the source of this 225-nucleotide long non-coding RNA. RefSeq lists it as uncharacterized. NCBI's taxonomy places the organism in Eukaryota, Metazoa, Chordata, Aves, Galliformes, Phasianidae. The transcript has 3 exons. The record is from RefSeq and is a predicted model, not a curated record.